Molecule: long non-coding RNA, 355 nt
Filed under: Struthio camelus australis
Lineage: Eukaryota; Metazoa; Chordata; Aves; Struthioniformes; Struthionidae
Description: lncRNA (ENSSCUG00000005594.1)
Source: RNAcentral
UUGCACUUGGAAAACCAUGAAAAGGGUGACUAACAUAAUAUUUUGUUCCAGGUGGGAAUAAAAAGCAACUGCUUUCCUGGUCCUUUACAGUCUAGUUAAGCAUUUGACUGGCAGAAUGUUGGCACCAGCCCUGGAAGAGCUGAUCAGCCUCAACUCCAAAUCUCUGUCCUGAGACACAACAACAGGAUGUGCCUUGGAGAAGAAGACCUACAAAAAAUGAAUUGAUUUUGAAUGAAAGGUCUCAGGAUAGAGAAAAUUUGAUUGCGUUCCAAACCUGCAAGCUCAGGGUGAGUAAUUAUUAUUUUUUAUUAUUUGCUUAGCCUUAAUUUGGAUCUUAAGGUAAGAAAUUGUAUUC